AUGGAGAGUUUGAUCCUGGCUCAGGACGAACGCUGGCGGCGGGCUUAACACAUGCAAGUCGAAGGAGAAGGAAGGAGCUUGCUCUUUCUGGAGACUGGCGGACGGGUGAGUAACGCGUAGCCAACCUGCCUUUAGCUGGGGGAUAACAUUCCGAAAGGGGUGCUAAUACCGCAUAAUGCAGCGGGGCCGCAUGGCCACAGUUGUUAAAGGUUUCGACCGGCUAAAGAGGGGGCUGCGUGCUAUUAGUUAGUUGGUGAGGUAACGGCUCACCAAGGCGAUGAUAGCUAGGGGGUCUGAGAGGAUGAUCCCCCACACUGGGACUGAGACACGGACCAGACUCCUACGGGAGGCAGCAGUGAGGAAUCUUGCGCAAUGGGCGAAAGCCUGACGCAGCCACGCCGCGUGCCGGAAGACGGCCCUAUGGGUUGUAAACGGCUUUUGCCAGGGAAGAAAGCCCGGGGUUCGCCCUGGAUUGACGGUACCUGGUGAAUAAGCACCGGCUAACUCCGUGCCAGCAGCCGCGGUAAUACGGAGG
This 535-nucleotide ribosomal RNA is filed under the name Goniomonas pacifica. Its description in RNAcentral is "partial Bacterial small subunit ribosomal RNA". It matches the Rfam family "Bacterial small subunit ribosomal RNA", at positions 1 to 531 of the family's 1533-position model. The record is from RNAcentral. Lineage: Eukaryota; Cryptophyceae; Goniomonadida; Goniomonadaceae.